Long non-coding RNA from Athalia rosae (coleseed sawfly), 191 nucleotides. RefSeq lists it as uncharacterized. NCBI's taxonomy places the organism in Eukaryota, Metazoa, Arthropoda, Insecta, Hymenoptera, Athaliidae. The transcript has 2 exons. The record is from RefSeq and is a predicted model, not a curated record.
UAUGCUUUUUACAGAAUUUUUUUUUUUUAAGGUCGAUGACGGAGAUUGCCAAAUCUAAUGGAAACUGUAGAAGUCGAGUACAUAAUUAAAAAGUGAAUAAUAUUCUGUCGGGAUCUCGAUACCGUUCGACCAUUCUCUUUCGUAAAGUAUCAAAAACCAUCAGAAUGAUGAAAGAAAUAUGGAGAUCCAUU